Molecule: long non-coding RNA, 863 nt
Filed under: Salmo salar (Atlantic salmon)
Lineage: Eukaryota; Metazoa; Chordata; Actinopteri; Salmoniformes; Salmonidae
Description: lncRNA (ENSSSAG00000115291.1)
Source: RNAcentral
GUUGGCAUUACAGUACUCAUAUAAGAGCUAGUCACUGAUUGGCUGAGAGGACACACUCUGUACACAGGAAAACCACACUUCCUGUUGUUGUUGCCAAGGUGCUGUCAUUCAGCCUGAGGAAGAGAGUCCAAAUGUUAUUAUUGAUGGUAUAGGUCUCACACUCUGCUGGUAUUGAUGGAUGGUAUAGGUCUCACUCUGCUGGUAUUGAUGGAUGGUAUAGGUCUCACACUCUGCUGGUAUUGAUGGUUGGUAUAGGUCUCACUCUGCUGGUAUUGAUGGAUGGUAUAGGUCUCACUCUGCUGGUAUUGAUGGAUGGUAUAGGUCUCACACUCUGCUGGUAUAGGUCUCACUCUGCUGGUAUUGAUGGAUGGUAUAGGUCUCACUCUGCUGGUAUAGGUCUCACUCUGCUGGUAUUGAUGGUUGGUAUAGGUCUCACUCUGCUGGUAUUGAUGGAUGGUAUAGGUCUCACACUCUGCUGGUAUUGAUGGAUGGUAUUGGUCUCACUCUGCUGGUAUUGAUGGAUGGUAUAAGUCUCACUCUGCUGGUAUUGAUGGAUGGUAUAGGUCUCACACUCUGCUGGUAUUGAUGGAUGGUAUAGGUCUCACUCUGCUGGUAUUGAUGGUUGGUAUAGGUCUCACUCUGCUGGUAUUGAUGGAUGGUAUAGGUCUCACACUCUGCUGGUAUUGAUGGGUGGUAUAGGUCUCACUCUGCUGGUAUUGAUGGAUGGUAUAGGUCUCACUCUGCUGGUAUUGAUGGAUGGUAUAGGUCUCACUCUGCUGGUAUUGAUGGAUGGUAUAGGUCUCUUCUUCUUCUUCUUUGGUCUCCUCUGUCCCUGACGAGGCGUUAAACAGGUCUCCUUCCUC